AGAUGAGGUAGAGGUCGCGGUGUUUAUUAGUAAAUUGUCCGAGAGUCAGAGAAACUCGAUGAAGCAAUUGAAAGGAACCACCGCCGAAGCGCCAUAAUUUCUCUGGUUAUGGCAGCUGGGGCUGUAUCCGAACAGGUGCAGAACUGUCAUGGCGUUUGCUAUGAUGAACUAUCCAUUUG
This 179-nucleotide non-coding RNA is filed under the name Bacillus methanolicus. RNAcentral describes it as "Lysine sequence". It matches the Rfam family "Lysine riboswitch aptamer". Rfam says of the family: Riboswitches are metabolite binding domains within certain messenger RNAs that serve as precision sensors for their corresponding targets. Allosteric rearrangement of mRNA structure is mediated by ligand binding, and this results in modulation of gene expression. The record is from RNAcentral. Lineage: Bacteria; Bacillati; Bacillota; Bacilli; Caryophanales; Bacillaceae. RNAcentral also lists the same sequence under 1 other name.